UGCUAUGUACCGGAUUGUAACCACUACUACGAUAACCACAUGUGCGUUUGAUUGUUUUCUGACCUUUAUUAGCGAGUGGCGCAGUGGUCUAAGGCACUGCGUCUAUGUUCUAGAGGUGUCACUACAGACCCUGGUUCGAUUCCAGGCUGUAUCACAACAGGCCGUGAUUGGGAGCCCAUAGUGCGACACACAAUUGGCCCAGCGUCGUUCAGGUUAGGCCAUCAUUAUGGACGGACCAAAAACACAGUGACAACACUUUGGUCUGCAGCUUCCAUUUUCCGGUGGAAAGAGAAAUGGCCCUGUAUUUCCAAGAAAAGACAAGAGGCGUGACAUGCGGAACAUCAGGCUCACCCCACGAGAAGCAGUGCAUGAUCAACUCCACCCUCAGCAAGGCAAUCUGCUGGAAGUGAUGUACUCUCUCUCUCUCACUCUGGGGGUAAGACUUAUAAAUUCCCACUGUGCCCAUGAUAAAAUGCAAUGUGAAUGGUGUUGUACUACUCAAUGAAACUGUUAGGAGAUGCACUCAAAAUUUAACUUACGUUGACUACAUUACUUUAGUUGGCUGCUUUGAGCAAAACUUGAAUGUAAUAUAACCUAUUGUUUGUGUAUGAUCUGUAUUCAUUGUUCACUUGUUUUCAACAAUGUUAGGUCCAAGCACUGGGGCCUUCAGCAAGUAAGACACAAGGGGUACAAAAUCAUUUGUACAUCACAGAUGUAUAUUCCCACUGUGCCCAUGAUAAAGGUGAACUACAUUACUGUAGCUGGCUACUUUGAACAACACUUGUAUGUAAUAUAACUAGGGCUGUCAUACAAAAAAAAAAAAAAAAAAAAAUGGAUUAAUUGCAUUCAAUUCUGUAGUUAAUUGCGAUUAAUCACUCAUUUAUAAUUUUUUCCAAUCUGUUCCUAAAUAAACAGUGUAUUGAGUUAUAGGCAUGUAGGGACUGAAACACAAAAAAUAUUCCGUAUCAGAAUGUUUUUAAUGGCAUAUUCACCAUAAACAAGUUAAGCAAUACAAAUGUCCUGUAAAGUACUAAUGCUCCCAGUAGGCCUACUCCCUCAUACAUUUUCUUGAAGUUGUCAACGAGAAAUGUGGAAACUGGAAGGAGCCGCAGUGAGAACAAUUAGGGGUGGAGAUGGAUGAGGAAGAGUUAGUCAGGUAACUCUUUUCCCACUCUACAACCAUUCAUACACACACACACACACACACACACACAGUUAAAACUUCAGCCAUUACAAAUUAUUGUUCUCCCAAUUACUGAUUGGAGGGUUGGCUAUAAUAAAAAAAUAACUGGCUCUAUGGAUGCAAAGAGCAUAAACUUGUCCAACAAUGUCAUGAAUUCCACAGAACAUAAACCUGUGACCAUACACUCCAGUCGUCCUCCUUUUUCUUUUCACUGAGCCAGUUCCAAAGACAAAAAUCACGUUAACAUUUUCAGAUGAUAAAGCUGCUCUCUUCUGUACGAUAUGCCCAGAGAGUGAAAACAACCUCCCACAAGUUACUGAUGUGGCAGGCAUUGCCAGGUACUGUAUGUAAAUAAGGUAUUUCUGUUUUUAUAUUUAAUACAUUUGCCAAAAAUGAUUGGGUAUUAUGUGUAGAUUGAGGGAAAAAACAAUUCAAUCCAUUUUAGAAUACGGCUGAAACGUAACAAAAUGUGGAAAAAGUGAAAGGGUCUGAAUACUUUCCGAAUGCACUGUCCCUUCGUGCAAUGCAGGCCAGCCUGGUGUGUGCCCCUGCAUGCUGUGACAACCACUGUCGUGGACAGUCCUCCAUGUAGAUGCUGGGCUCUGCUUUGUAACGCUCCACACAUUUCUCAAUGGACUCCUAUUCUUCAACAGACUCAGAAGAACUCAACAAGAGGGCAGCUGUCUUAUUUGGUGGCUCUGACUCUGUUGCUUUAUCAGGUUGCUGUACAGACCUCUCUUCCUUCAGCACGUUGCUGACAAAAGCCCACACCUCACCCCUCUCAGGUCUGGGAAGGCACUUCGGGUCCUUAAACCUUGGGUCGAGUGCUGUGGCGAUCUUCAGACAUGUGAGGUUGGUGUUUUCCUUGCAUUUCUUCAGGUUUGUUGUGAAUAUUUGCUUGAAACUUUCCACGUAGGCAUGGUCAUCAUCGGAGCUCUCCAUCACCCAAAGGAGAUGGCACAAAGCAGGCAACACCAGUGAGCAGGAAAUGUACUUCUCUCCCAGAAGUUCAGUCAAGUACCUGCAGUGGAAAAUAAUUCUAAAUAAUUUAAGUGAAUUGUGAGAGACUUGUUAUACGCAGACACAUUCUCUCUCACUCACACACACACACACACACACACACACACAAUCGUAUUAUAACACUAAUAGUAUGAUAAAGAAGCUUACCUUCAGGGCUACAGCAGCGCCUACAACUUCUGCAGUUUCUCCAAUUCAGCUGUGGUUUGCAUGGUGAAGUUGGUUUUCUGUUGGGCCAGAGCACCUCUGUGGUUGUUGGUUUCUGUGGACACACUUUACCAAUUCCUGUGUGGAAUUCCAUCUUUUUGUGACAUCUUGAACGAGUUACUCGUUUUUUUGCCCAUUUGCAACUUGCUGUUGUCCUAGCUCUGCAGCGUUUGGUGUGCUGUGUUUGAAAUGCCAAACAAUUCUUCAGCAUUUGGCUUGGGCAUUUUCAAACCUGCUGUUCUGUAGGGACACUGUGAUGGACCUUUGGGGACGGUGAGCAGUGCAGGGUGUUCAAAAGGCAGAUAUCUCGCAGCUACAAUCAUGUUCUGUGUAAAGUGUUUUCAAUGUUCCACUGCUUUUCUACAUCCCCGGGUGCCCUUGUACUUUAACAAUGUCUGGUACAGACAGGGACGACAGGGAGGGUGGCGGUUGUUCUGGCUCAGGUUCAAGGAGACAUGCCAUUCCACUUAACCUGUCCCGGAAAUGGUUCCUUGGCGACUGAAGAUCCUCUUCUGUGGGCUUUCAGAUUGUAUUGUGAACCGCCAAAAUAGGCUGCAUGGCUACACUUAUGAGCUCCACAGAGGCAUUCACAUGUGGUAUAGAGAAUCCCCUGGUCACCUAUAGAGACCUGCAAAGAGGAAGGAUGUUAAGUGCCACAUUCCUUUCAAUGCAUGACUUUGAACACCGUGAAAUGUUUAUGCUGUAAGAAAUGUGCUAUAUACACUAACCGUUCAAAAGUUUGAGGCCACUUAGAAAUGUAAUUGUUUUAUAAAAAAAUAAUUUUUU
Oncorhynchus mykiss (rainbow trout) is the source of this 3193-nucleotide long non-coding RNA. RefSeq lists it as uncharacterized. The record is from RefSeq and is a predicted model, not a curated record. NCBI's taxonomy places the organism in Eukaryota, Metazoa, Chordata, Actinopteri, Salmoniformes, Salmonidae.